GCUACACAUGCAGUCGAACGAGAAAGUGGGGGCAACUCCAUGAGUAAAGUGGCAGACGGGUGAGUAACACGUGAACAACCUACCCUUGAGUGUGGAAUAACACCGCGAAAGCGGUGCUAAUACCGCAUAACAUCUUCGGGUCGCAUGAUCUGGAGAUCAAAAGCGCAAGUUGCUUGAGGAGGGGUUCGCGCCUGAUUAGCUAGUUGGUGAGGUAACGGCCCACCAAGGCUUCGAUCAGUAGCCGGCCUGAGAGGGCGAACGGCCACACUGGAACUGAGACACGGUCCAGACUCCUACGGGAGGCAGCAGUGGGGAAUUUUGCGCAAUGGGCGAAAGCCUGACGCAGCAACGCCGCGUGGAGGAUGAAGGCCUUCGGGUCGUAAACUCCUGUCAGUAGGGACGAAUGCCUCGCAAGAGGUUUGACUGUACCUGCUGAGGAAGCCACGGCUAACUCCGUGCCAGCAGCCGCGGUAAUACGGAGGUGGCAAGCGUUGUUCGGAGUUACUGGGCGUAAAGGGCGCGUAGGCGGCAUGGCAAGUCAGAUGUGAAAGCCCCGAGCUUAACUCGGGAACUGCAUCUGAAACUGCUUUGCUUGAGUCCUGGAGGGGGUAGUGGAAUUCCAGGUGUAGCGGUGAAAUGCGUAGAUAUCUGGAGGAACAUCCGUGGCGAAGGCGGCUCACUGGGACAACACUGACGCCGAGGCUCGA
RNAcentral lists this ribosomal RNA (707 nucleotides) under uncultured bacterium. RNAcentral describes it as "bacterial SSU rRNA". It matches the Rfam family "Bacterial small subunit ribosomal RNA", at positions 48 to 756 of the family's 1533-position model. The record is from RNAcentral.